CCCUUAGAUGUUCUGGGCCGCACGCGGGCUACACUGACGAAUGCAACGAGCUUAUAACCUUGGCCGAAAGGUCUGGGUAAUCUCCAAAUUUCGUCGUGAUGGGGAUAGAUUAUUGCAAUUAUUAAUCUUCAACGAGGAAUGCCUAGUAAGCGCAAGUCAUCAGCUUGCGUUGAUUACGUCCCUGCCCUUUGUACACACCGCCCGUCGCUCCUACCGAUUGAAUGGUCCGGUGAAGCGUUCGGACCGUGGCCUUUGGACGGUUCGCCGUCUGUUGGCUGCGGGAAGUUCGUUAAACCUUAUCAUUUAGAGGAAGGAGAAGUCGUAACA
This 327-nucleotide ribosomal RNA is filed under the name uncultured eukaryote. Its description in RNAcentral is "partial 18S ribosomal RNA". It matches the Rfam family "Eukaryotic small subunit ribosomal RNA", at positions 1470 to 1796 of the family's 1831-position model. The record is from RNAcentral.